Molecule: long non-coding RNA, 4964 nt
Organism: Rattus rattus (black rat)
Lineage: Eukaryota; Metazoa; Chordata; Mammalia; Rodentia; Muridae
Exons: 2
Source: RefSeq, a predicted model, not a curated record
CCCUUAAGCUGUAGAGAAUCAUUUAGCUUAAAGCCCUUGAGCUGUGCUUGAGACUGGAUUCCUUUCAGACCUUCGGGGAAAAUACGCUUUUGUUUUCUUUCUCAGGGGCACUGCGAUUGCUGGCAUCGUGUUUGGAAUCGUGUUCAUCAUGGGGGUCAUUGCAGGAAUUGCCAUAUGCAUCUGCAUGUGCAUGAAAAACAACCGGGGAACCCGCGUGGGAGUCAUCAGAGCAGCACACAUCAAUGCCAUCUCCUAUCCCAUGGCACCGCCCCCCUAUACUUAUGACCAUGAGAUGGAAUAUUGCACAGACCUGCCACCACCAUACUCUCCAGCCCCACAAGCUUCAGCCCAGCGCUCUCCACCCCCUCCGUACCCUGGAAAUCCAAGGAAAUAUUCCUCCUCCCAGAACAGAAUAUGUAACAAUUAGCAAUUACCCAGAACAAAAUGCCUCAAUUUAGAAACAUGCAAAUGAUCGUCUACUGGCUAGGGUCAGAUAACAUCUCAGGCAGACUAUCCAUGUGGAGCAGGCUCUUUCCCUGCUCAGAGCUAGGUAGAGAAUGAGGUUUGGUUCUCUGAAGUCACAGAUUACGUGAUCUACAGAUCCGCCCAGGCACAGUCAGAUUAAAACAAUGCACUUGGCAGACCAUGUGAUAAUCACGCUGCUUUAGGACGAGCUGAAGGCAACUUCAGCAUUGAACCUGGAAUAAAGACAGAGGACAGUCUUAUCUACAUCAGGAAAGAGCUGCAUUCCAUAUAGCUUUAGGCGAACUAGAACAGUUCAUUAUUACAUUUAUCCACAAAUAUGUAUUAAGUGCCUUAGAGCCCACUCUGUGCCUGGCCACAUUAGGGGCUCUGGAUAGAAGUAACCAAUGGGAACGUUGGUUCUGGCACAGGCAUACCUCAUCUUGUUGCACUUUGACCUUUUGCACUUCGCCGUGGUGUUGCAUGUUUUUUUACAGAUUGAAGGUUUAUGAUAACCUUGCACCAAGCAGUGUCGUUUUCCCAACAGUAGAAGCAUACUUCCUAUCCUUGUAUUACAUGUUGGUCAUGCGCGCCAACAAUGCGCGUCAUUCCAAAUGUUUUCAUAGCCACGAUUAUUAUGUCUGUUAUGGUGAUCUGCGUUUAGUGUUGGUUGGUGUUGUUAUCGUAGAUAUUUGUUUGGAGAUGUCAUGAAUUCCGCCCCUAUAAAACAGUGAGAUUAGUAGAUUGAUAAAUAGUGUGUGUGUGUGUGUGUGUGUGUGUGUGUGUGUAUGUAUCAUAUCUGCUCCACUGAAAACCUCCACCCCCUUCCUCCUCUCUCUCUCUCCCCCUAUUCCGAGAACAGUCUGAAAUUAGGCCAAUUAACAAGCCAACAAUGACUUCUAAGUGUUCAAGCUAAAAGAAUAAUAUGGUUCUUACUUUAACCCAAAGAUGGAAAUAAUUCAUCUUUAUGACAAAAGCAUGUUCAAAUCCGAGAUAGGCUGAAAGGCCAGCAUCUUACUCUAGCUUGUAAGUUAAGCCAUAAAAACACAGAUGAGGCUUUCUUAAAGGAAACUAAAAAUGUCUCUCUCCAAACACACAAAUGAUAGAAAAGAAAGAGAACACCAACCCCACUGUUUAUAAGAAUAACUCCUUAGUGGUGUAUGCAGCAGAUCAAAACAACCACAUUCCCUCAAGUCAUAAAGCUUGAUCCAGAGCUGGGACCUAACUCUUCAUUCUGCAAUGGCUGGCAGAGGCGAACAAGAAAUGUAAGCAUAGCUUGCAUGCUGUAAGAGAAAGAUUGAGAGGAGCAGAGAUCGGGUCCUGAAGUUAAGAGAAGGAGCUACCCUACCCCUGUAUUCAAAGGAGAAGGUGAAGCUUCAGGCACUGCAAUGGAGGCUGACGCCUGUUCUCUCAAAGACCUAGUUAGGAUCGCACAGAAGAUGGCCGCUUAAUGGAAAUGACAGUCUCUACUGUGGGAAGACGUGCUUGCCUUCUAGAACUUCCACAGCCAAAACAAAAAAGCCAUCCUAACUCCAAACCUCAAAAGACAGUCUGGCCUUCUCGCUAGUGUCUACACCAUAACUGCUGACUUUCACAUGAAGCCAGUAUUCAAUGUUCAUUUUCUAGCCAAAAAUCCUAGCCCUCUUAAGAAUAGCCAGAGUUCGCUCUGCCUGUAGUCUAUACAUAGAACAACCAGGUCUAUUUUUGAUGUUGUUUAAUGAAUGUUUUAAACCAAGUGUUGAGACUGCUCAGGGAAAAACAAGUUGUUGUUUUUUUUUUCAAAACCUUACUGCUUAUUGACAAAGCUCAUCCAAGUGCUCCCAUGGAAAUGUACAAAGAAACAAAGAUCUGUUCAUAUGCAGCAACGAUUCCAGUCCUACUCUGUGUCCCAUAGACUAUGGUUAACUUCGACUUCUAAGCCUUGGUAUUUAAUAACUGCCUUUUAUAAGGUCAUAACUGACACAAAUUGGAACCUCUGGGGGCUUGGCAAAGUCCUGGAAAGAAUCUGUGACUGUAGACCCACGAUUCACAAGAAGAGAUCGAGAGGUCAGUAUUAAUGCACAUUUGGAGGAAGUAGAUUCCGGCUCUCAUACAUAAUGUUGCCUUUGCUAAGGCUUUGGAGGAGGAAGUACCUACAGAUAUGGUAAACUCACAAAGGAACUAACCUUGGAGAUGGAAAUUGAAGGUGCAACUCAGAUACUAUAUCUCAGGCUAUCACUGCAAGAGGAACAAUUGCUUCUUAUGGUGAGCAAUGUAUAGAGGUUUUGGUUCAUCUGGUGAAACACACUGCUGGUGAAAGGUGCUGUGGGCAGAGAUGAGGUCAGAGCAGAGGGUUUAGAGUAUUUGUAAGUGACUUGAUAAGCCUGCAGUGGGAUUGGAGAAAAUUACAAUUUUGAAGGAAGAAACACCGUACUUUAAAAGCUGCCAAGCAGCAUCACAUGCUACAGAGAACCUGUUUGUAAAGAGAUGUUUCAACCUAUGUAGCAGAUUUCACUGUUAUAUUAUUUGAAGGAACUAACCGGAUUAAGCAAGCACCAGCCUAAUCAUCAGCAACUCUCACCCCACCACCACCAAAAAGAUUUGGACCUGCCGAAAGCUUGGCUGCUAGUUGCCAUUCUUUAACAAUGAAAUAUUUUAAUGAGGGUAUAGACACUGCUUUGAAGACACUUAACAAACUAUAAUACAGUAUAAACAUAACUUUAAUGUGUACCAGAAAACCAAAAAGUAUUCGUGUGAUUCUCUUGUGAAAUUUGCUUUGCAAGAAAGACAAGCGGCUUCACAGGUGAUGUCGAAGUCUUAUUGGUAUGAAUAUAUGGAACCCAUGCCCUCUCUAAAGUAUGCGUGUAAAACAAAGCAAAUUAAGCAAACAACAACAAAAACCAGUUGUGCCUUACUGUUGACUAGAUAGCUUUGUGAAGCUCUUCCAUCGAGAUCCCAAACAAAAUGCGGCUGUAUAGUAAAGAAAUGUUCUAGAAAGGUGUCUAAAAUGGAUCGAUCCUUUUAGCCUCAAACUGUCUGCUUAUGUCUUAGGUAGGUGUGACUACCUGUGUCUGCAGCAGUGAGAGCAGUAACUCAAUCUUACCCAUUGACUCUGACUAUUUAAACAAGAUCAAAGGUACCCACCACGUUCUGGGAGCUAAGAUCUCCACAGUGCUUACUAACUCUUCCUAAAAACCCAUAUCGCUUUAGUCACAGGUAUAUGAAGGUUGCUCCAACUGUGGAAUAAGAGGUGAGAAACCAAAUAGUCCCAGGUUUUAUAUCAGUAAUAAAAUGUGUAAUUUGACCAUAGACAAAAGACUUUUUUAAAGGGGGAAAUGAAUGCUCAAGCCAUUGCUUCCAUUUUAUAAAAACUAAUCUUUUAGACAAGUUAUAUAAUUAAUGGGAAAGGCAAGAGGACACUGUGUUGCCUUUUGCCCGAGUACUAGGUUUUGUGACGUGCUUGCCUUUAAAUGUAAAAGCAUUCAAUAAAAAAAAUUCCAAUGUGUCAUGUUCUACUCCAAGUGACUGUAACAUUCAUUUUUUCCACUUGGCUCUUUUUGUGUACUUUAAAAUUGUUUGAUGAUCACUAGGGAUAGAAGGUCAGACCUUUAUGUCACUUUAAAAGAAAACCUAAAACACUAACCAAACUUAAACAAUCCCAUAUCAUGAUAAUAAUGCAGUGAUAUUCCAAAAUGGCACCAAGAUACUUGAUAAAUAACCAAAACAAAUAUCUGACAAUAUAGGUUAUAGGAUCUGAGCUUGUAGUUGAGAAAGUUAAUAUGAAUAAAUAGUGCCUUUUACUGUAUCAAAUAUUUACAGUAGAAAUAUGUGGGUCCGACUGAACAUGGUCUACAGAAGGUAUUGAGGUUAGGUUUGUUUUGAGUGACUUGCUUGGCUUAGGCAAGAAUAAUCUUAGCUUCGAAGAUGUGGAAAGCCUUCAGGGGUCCUGUCUGUUCUAGUAAGAGGCUUCCUGCCUAGCAUGAAGUGUCAGCGUAGUGUUAACAGUACAUGGGCUUUGAUUUAUUUUUCUUCGGCAAAUGUGAUUAGUUUAUACCACUCUACAGCAAUAAUCCUUAAUGCCAAAGUCACGGUGAUCUGAGAAUGUUGUUUGCAAAUCCACUACACAUUUCUAAAGAAAAAUAAAGAGGCAAGUCUGCCAAAAUCGAAUGCUCCUUUUGACACAAAUGUACGUCUACCACAUGCCUCUGACAUUCUAUAAACAUUGUCUGCAUGGGAACUGUCCACACUCUCUCUCUUUGAGUUGGUUAUGGCUCCCCCGAAGGCAUAGCACAAACUUAUAUAUUUACAAUGAAGGAUUUUACUGGUUUUUACUAGUGUCAUACUAUUAUACAUGAAUAUAUCAUAGAUUUCUAAAGUUCACUGAUUAUUUCCAGAAGUAAUGUAUAUCAGAGGAAAACAAUAUUUGAUGUAAAAUUUUGAUUAUGGUUGUUUAAGAACUAACCGUUGCUAUGGCUAAAUUAUUUACAAAGAGCAAUAAAAUGAAAGGACUUAUUAUAAUGAGA